UACAGAGACCUCAAGCAUUAUCCGGAUUUAUUGGGCGUAAAGGGUCCGCAGGUGGUCGUUCACGUCGGUGGUCAAAUCUUCGGGCUCAACCCGGGGACUGCCAUCGAUACGGUUCGACUCGAGGCCGGGAGAGGUAAGCGGAAUUGCCGGUGUAGUAGUAAUAUGCGUUGAUAUCGGCAAGAACACCAAAUGCGAAGGCAGCUUACUGGAACGGUUCUGACACUCAGGGACGAAAGCGUGGGGAGCAAAAGGG
This 253-nucleotide ribosomal RNA is filed under the name uncultured bacterium. RNAcentral's name for it is "partial 16S ribosomal RNA". It matches the Rfam family "Bacterial small subunit ribosomal RNA", at positions 524 to 776 of the family's 1533-position model. The record is from RNAcentral.